CUGGAAGGUAAGUAACGCAGCCGGGUCCUGGAAGGUAAAUAACACAGCCAGGUCCUGGAAGUUAAGUAACACAGCGACACAGCCAGGUCCUGGAAGGUAAGUAACACAGCCAGGUCCUGGAAGGUAAGUAACACAGCCAGACCCUGGAAGGUAAGUAACACAGCCGGGUCCUAGCAGGUAAGUAACACAGCCGGGUCCUGGCAGGUAAGUAACACAGCCAGGUCCUGGAAGGUAAGUAACACAGCCAGGCCCUGGAAGGUAAAUAACACAGCAACACAGCC
Non-coding RNA from Pelobates cultripes (western spadefoot toad), 281 nucleotides. The record is from the annotation of a GenBank genome assembly. NCBI's taxonomy places the organism in Eukaryota, Metazoa, Chordata, Amphibia, Anura, Pelobatidae.